Molecule: long non-coding RNA, 1401 nt
Filed under: Phoenix dactylifera (date palm)
Lineage: Eukaryota; Viridiplantae; Streptophyta; Magnoliopsida; Arecales; Arecaceae
Description: long non-coding RNA (PDAC_LNC014749)
Source: RNAcentral
CUCAUUUUCUUUUAAAUGCUAUAAGAAAAAUAAAAGUCUAUCGUUAUAUACCAAUACUAGUUUAAUCUAAAUAUAAUCAUCAGAGCUAAAUAGGCCAAGCUGAAAAGAAACAUGACAUUUAUUGCCUCUAUCCUCGACAUAAGAACCAUGAAAUCCCAUUCUUAAGUAUGGUGGGACCUGUUGGACCAGUUUUGAUUCAUGGUUGGAAACUUGGAAUAAUUCAUUUCCACCAAUUUUUGAUAUCCAUGAUCUACGAAUUUGAUAUGUCUGUAGAGUGUUGGAAUGUCUAACUCAUAUUGACUUGCCCAUAUGUAUCAACAAGAGUUGUCCAAGAUGAAUGCAAGUGUGCUGAUAAGGAGCAACCACGUUAUAUUCUUUUGGGAGGUUGGAAAGGAAGAGAGAUAUCAUUUCAAACAAAUUUGUUUAAUUAGAGGGUACUCCAGUCGCCUCAAGCAAUAAUGAUGUAGAGAUCAAGGAACUUUCUGGUAUUUGGUAAGAAUAAGAAUGAAGCUUUCCUUGAAAAUAAUUCAGUCUCCAGAAGCAAAAACUUCAUGUAGGAAGUCGUUUCCAGUAUAAUUAAACCAUCCAAAUAGUCAUACCAGGUCUGAGAAAAGUUAAUGUAAACUUUCAACAGAAUUUUGGAAUACAACAUCACAAAAUUAGAACAGAAAAGUUUCUCUUCUGAUAAGUAAUAUUACUAAUAGGGAAUUUAAUUAGAGUUUAAGUAGCCUUCACUAUUUGGUUUUCAUAUAGUUCCUCCCGAAAGUAACUUAAACUACAAUAAGAAAACUUCAAGUGAGGAGUCCUUGUUUCUUUUAUAAUGAGCUCUCCCAACUACUAUACCAGUUGAUAGAAAAAUUAAUAAAAUAUUAUUCGCAACAAAGAUAGCUUAACCUAACAAUAACAAGACAAUUCAAAUAUAGAGAAUUCUUGAUUGCAAUAGCAGUAAUUUUUGUUAAAGAACUUCCUCUUGUAACCCCAGCGGAAAGUUUAGUUAUAUCAUAAUGUACGUCUAUGAGCAUUGCAUAAUCAGGCAAAGCAUUUUGUAUAUGAUAGGGGAAUAAAAUUCAACCACCCAAAAAAAUAAUAAAGGACAGGCAAAAUCUGACAUAUUAAGGCCUUGUUUGGGAAUGCUUUUGAGAGCUAGAAAGUACUUUUUGGAGAGUGAAGAGCACUUUCAGGCAAUAUGGUGGUGUUUGAUAAAAAAAAAUCAGAAGAGCUUUCUCGUUCUCCAAAAGGCUAAAAAACAUCUCUUUGGAAAAAGCUCCAUUUUUUGGGCUUUUCCGCAAAAGCUCUACUUGGUUGAGGUCUGGAAAGCUGUUUUUGGUUUAAUGAAAAUUCCCUAGUGACCAAAAUACCCAUAAUAAUGUAUUAUAUUGUAUUGUAUCAUAUCAUAUUAUA